GACGAACCGUGCAAACGUUAUUCGGAAUCACUGGGCUUAAAGCGCGUGUAGGCGGUGCGGUGCGUCGGCCGCUGAAAUCCCCCGGCUCAACCGGGGAAGGGGCGCCGAGACGACCGCCCUGGAGCGACGUAGGGGGGACUGGAACUUCCGGUGGAGCGGUGAAAUGCGUUGAGAUCGGAAGGAACGCCCGUGGCGAAAGCGAGUCCCUGGACGUCGGCUGACGCUGAGACGCGAAAGCCAGGGGAGCGAACGGG
RNAcentral lists this ribosomal RNA (254 nucleotides) under uncultured bacterium. RNAcentral's name for it is "partial 16S ribosomal RNA". It matches the Rfam family "Bacterial small subunit ribosomal RNA", at positions 524 to 776 of the family's 1533-position model. The record is from RNAcentral.